CCUACGGGAGGCUGCAGUGGGGGAUAUUGCACAAUGGGGGAAACCCUGAUGCAGCGACGCCGCGUGUGGGAAGACGGUCCUCUGGAUUGUAAACCACUGUCCACAGGGACGAAGAUGACGUUACUUGGGGAGGAAGCUCCGUCUAACAACGUGCCAGCAGCCGCGGAAAUACGUAGGGAGCGAGCGUUGUCCGGAUUUACUGGGGGUAAAGGGAGCGUAGGCGGGAUGGCAGGUUGGGUGUAAAGUCUACCGGCUCAACCGGGAGCCGCACUUAAAACUGCAGUUCUGGAGUGAAGUAGAGGCAGGCGGAAUUCCUAGUGUAGCGGUGAAAUGCGUAGAUAUUAGGAGGAACACCAGUGGCGAAGGCGGCCUGCUGGGCUGUUACUGACGCUGAGGCUCGAAAGUGUGGGGAGCAAACAGGAUUAGAUACCCUUGUAGUC
This 440-nucleotide ribosomal RNA is filed under the name uncultured bacterium. Its description in RNAcentral is "partial 16S ribosomal RNA". It matches the Rfam family "Bacterial small subunit ribosomal RNA", at positions 338 to 795 of the family's 1533-position model. The record is from RNAcentral.